Long non-coding RNA from Lolium perenne, 718 nucleotides. RefSeq lists it as uncharacterized. NCBI's taxonomy places the organism in Eukaryota, Viridiplantae, Streptophyta, Magnoliopsida, Poales, Poaceae. The record is from RefSeq and is a predicted model, not a curated record.
ACCCUGCACCCCGUGAUGAUAGCCUAGGAGCAGAGGAGCGCCGCCUCCCUUCUCCCUGUUCUGCGCCCCCACGUCCGCCGCGAUCGGCAACCCUCGCGGCCCUGCCUCCGGCGCCGCUUGCACCCUCGCGCGGCCGUCCACUGUGCCGCCCUUCCGCCCUUAUCGCCCGCCUCGCGCCACGUCGAUGACGUCCACCCAGCGCCACUUCGCCCACGCACGUCUCCCGGCCCUACGCCCCGGUACCCGUGAGCCACAUCCUGCCGCCGCACUGGCGUUCUUGAACCAGCAGCUCGCCGCUGGUAGCCCCUGCCCUGCAUCCUCGACCUCCAGGGCGCAUAGCAUCUAAGUACAUCUAACUAAACGUGAGACCAUCUCAUACCUCUACAUAAGAAAUGCUCUCCAGUAGCAGCUUCAACUUAGAGGAGAGGUUGAUCAGCGGAAUUAUAAGAGAGGUUCCUUCUACAUUCAGUUUGGUUGCUGAAGAUGGCACACUUGACCCGUUUCUCCUUCAGCCUAUGUGCUCCGAUUUAGUCAAGUUUAUGGACAAGAUGAUAUAUACUGCCAGUUUGUUUCUUGUAUAGGCAGUGAGACAUGUUUCAGUUUGAAAUUCUUCAACCUUCAGCCUGUGUGUUUUCAUCUAGUCAAGCUUAUGGACAAAGAUGAUACAUAUUGCCUGUUUGUUCAUUGUGUUGAUAGUGAGACAUGUUCCAGUUCGAAA